GCAUCCCCAGUUUGCUUCUAGAGGAGGAAGGGGAAGAGGGUUUUCUUGUUGCUGCUAUUCCUCGUGGAUAUUCAAGAGGCAACUUGGCACCUAAUGUCAGCAACGAGCUUAUCGGUGACGAGGGAAAUGAAAGAAGGCUGCAAUGGAAUUUGUACUAGAUCAGAUUUUGGCCAUAUAAUUUCCGGUGACUGGAAGUCUAAAACUGAAGAUAGGGCAGAUUGUUUUGAUUCCAAUUACUUGGAGAUCUUGUGGCGUGCUGUCCCUGGAUCAGUCAGACCUACGGCAACAUCAACUCGUUGAUCCUAGAGGCCAUGGUUCUCGA
Molecule: long non-coding RNA, 322 nt
Organism: Triticum dicoccoides
Lineage: Eukaryota; Viridiplantae; Streptophyta; Magnoliopsida; Poales; Poaceae
Exons: 3
Source: RefSeq, a predicted model, not a curated record